Molecule: ribosomal RNA, 511 nt
Filed under: uncultured bacterium
Lineage: Bacteria
Description: partial 16S ribosomal RNA
Rfam family: Bacterial small subunit ribosomal RNA
Source: RNAcentral
AUUGAACGCUGGCGGCGUGCCUAAUACAUGCAAGUCGAGCGGAAGUUGGAGAGCUUGCUCUUCAACUUUAGCGGCGGACGGGUGAGUAACACGUGGGCAACCUGCCCUGCAGAUCGGGAUAACUCCGGGAAACCGGUGCUAAUACCGAAUAGUUUUCGCCACCUCCUGGUGGCGUACGGAAAGACGGUUUCGGCUGUCACUGCAGGAUGGGCCCGCGGCGCAUUAGCUAGUUGGUGGGGUAACGGCCCACCAAGGCGACGAUGCGUAGCCGACCGGAGAGGGUGAUGGGCCACACUGGGACUGAGACACGGCCCAGACUCCUACGGGAGGCAGCAGUAGGGAAUCUUCCGCAAUGGACGAAAGUCUGACGGAGCAACGCCGCGUGAGUGACGAAGGUUUUCGGAUCGUAAAACUCUGUUGUGAGGGAAGAACAAGUACCACUUAACUACUGGUACCUUGACGGUACCUCACCAGAAAGCCACGGCUAACUACGUGCCAGCCGCCGCGGUAA